CCUGCUUCCAGGAAAAGCCUCUAAGCAUCAGGUAACAUCAAAUCGUACCCCAAACCGACACAGGUGGUCAGGUAGAGAAUACCAAGGCGCUUGAGAGAACUCGGGUGAAGGAACUAGGCAAAAUGGUGCCGUAACUUCGGGAGAAGGCACGCUGAUAUGUAGGUGAAGUCCCUCGCGGAUGGAGCUGAAAUCAGUCGAAGAUACCAGCUGGCUGCAACUGUUUAUUAAAAACACAGCACUGUGCAAACACGAAAGUGGACGUAUACGGUGUGACGCCUGCCCGGUGCCGGAAGGUUAAUUGAUGGGGUUAGCGCAAGCGAAGCUCUUGAUCGAAGCCCCGGUAAACGGCGGCCGUAACUAUAACGGUCCUAAGGUAGCGAAAUUCCUUGUCGGGUAAGUUCCGACCUGCACGAAUGGCGUAAUGAUGGCCAGGCUGUCUCCACCCGAGACUCAGUGAAAUUGAACUCGCUGUGAAGAUGCAGUGUACCCGCGGCAAGACGGAAAGACCCCGUGAACCUUUACUAUAGCUUGACACUGAACAUUGAGCCUUGAUGUGUAGGAUAGGUGGGAGGCUUUGAAGUGUGGACGCCAGUCUGCAUGGAGCCGACCUUGAAAUACCACCCUUUAAUGUUUGAUGUUCUAACGUUGACCCGUAAUCCGGGUUGCGGACAGUGUCUGGUGGGUAGUUUGACUGGGGCGGUCUCCUCCUAAAGAGUAACGGAGGAGCACGAAGGUUGGCUAAUCCUGGUCGGACAUCAGGAGGUUAGUGCAAUGGCAUAAGCCAGCUUGACUGCGAGCGUGACGGCGCGAGCAGGUGCGAAAGCAGGUCAUAGUGAUCCGGUGGUUCUGAAUGGAAGGGCCAUCGCUCAACGGAUAAAAGGUACUCCGGGGAUAACAGGCUGAUACCGCCCAAGAGUUCAUAUCGACGGCGGUGUUUGGCACCUCGAUGUCGGCUCAUCACAUCCUGGGGCUGAAGUAGGUCCCAAGGGUAUGGCUGUUCGCCAUUUAAAGUGGUACGCGAGCUGGGUUUAGAACGUCGUGAGACAGUUCGGUCCCUAUCUGCCGUGGGCGCUGGAGAACUGAGGGGGGCUGCUCCUAGUACGAGAGGACCGGAGUGGACGCAUCACUGGUGUUCGGGUUGUCAUGCCAAUGGCACUGCCCGGUAGCUAAAUGCGGAAGAGAUAAGUGCUGAAAGCAUCUAAGCACGAAACUUGCCCCGAGAUGAGUUCUCCCUGACUCCUUGAGAGUCCUGAAGGAACGUUGAAGACGACGACGUUGAUAGGCCGGGUGUGUAAGCGCAGCGAUGCGUUGAGCUAACCGGUACUAAUGAACCGUGAGGCUUAACCUUACAACGCCGAAG
Molecule: ribosomal RNA, 1360 nt
Filed under: Escherichia coli
Lineage: Bacteria; Pseudomonadati; Pseudomonadota; Gammaproteobacteria; Enterobacterales; Enterobacteriaceae
Description: partial 23S ribosomal RNA
Rfam family: Bacterial large subunit ribosomal RNA
Source: RNAcentral